GGGCGGCUGGCCUAAUGGUAAGGCGUCUGAUUUCGGCGGAAAUAUCUCCAAACCUUCUCAGAAGAUUGCAGGUUCGAUCCCUGCGUCGCUCA
This 92-nucleotide transfer RNA is filed under the name Penicillium coprophilum. It matches the Rfam family "tRNA". From Rfam's summary of the family: Transfer RNA (tRNA) molecules are approximately 80 nucleotides in length. Their secondary structure includes four short double-helical elements and three loops (D, anti-codon, and T loops). The record is from Rfam by way of RNAcentral. Lineage: Eukaryota; Fungi; Ascomycota; Eurotiomycetes; Eurotiales; Aspergillaceae.